AUAUUCUUAAAAGAAAAUAAGAAGAAGAAAAUUGAGGUUAAUAGUACAUGUACCAUCACAAAAAUAUAAAAAAAGUACUUAUUUAGGAUGUAAUGCGCAGAAUCACAUAACAUAUUUUGAUACCAAAAUGUGACAAUAUAAUACACAAAACUUCUUGUAUUAAUAUUGUACACAAUCAUUUCAUAAUGAAAAUAAUAUUUACAUAAAAUAAAGUAACAUUUACAUGUAUCCAGAAACUGGUGCCACUCUCACUGGAAUGCCAGUGGCAUGAAAAAUAGACCACCUUUCUAUUCAAAACAGCGCUGGACUGGCGCAAAAAGUGUUUACACUUGAACAAAACCCUAUACAAGAUAACUCUGUCACAUCCUUGGUAGAGGAAGAAAUUAGAAUAAUCACAAGAAACUUCCUUGAUGGACAACGGAUCAUCCAAGUAACGAAUCAAGACUGCUAAAUACCCCUCCUGGAUUUGAAAGGUGACUGAAGAAACCAUGGCCAACAGACUUAAUAAAUUAACUAUUUAUAUGAACUAAUAUAAAAUAUAUUAUACAGGAGAGUUGCCACAUGGCAGCUUCUCCCUCAUGUGUUCAACAUUCACACCAUUUACUUAUAGCUUCAUGAUCAGAUGGUAAAUUAAAUUGUGUAUUAAAUAAAAAAAAAUGUCAAAAUAUUUUUUAUACCUAAAGGUGGAGCAGAAUCUAUUUCCUGAAUUUCAGUUAUACAAUUUUGAUCGCUUAUGGAAGAUGUUUGUUGUCCUUUAUAUACUUUCUUAUUUUGUACACCAAUCCUUUUUCUCGGCGAUUCCAAAUUCAAUUCUUGUUCUGCAUUACUUCCAAUCAUUGCAGGAAGUAUUUGUAUUGUACGAUGACCUGAUACUAAAGAUAUAGGAAAAGUCAAACAAUGAGGAAUGCACAUAACUUUCCCCUUGUUGCCAUAUUCUAAAUUUGAAAAAAUAUAUAGAGAAUAGUCAGGUUUUUUUGAUAUGCCAUUCCUAUUACAGCAAGCAUUUCAUUGGCUAGAAUUAGUGACGAGUAUAAUAUAUGAUGUCAUGGUAACUGACGUCUGUCAUAAUAUUGGAGGUUAUAUUUAUAAUGUCAAAUUAUUGUUUUCAAUUUAUAUUUUAUUUAUUUAGUUUAUAUUUUAACAACGGUUUAUUUUUUAAAUAACUUUACUUUCCCUUCUGUAUCCUUGAUUGGUCGUUUAGGUUCGUAAUGGUUUUCUUGUAUGGUAGGUUUAGUUAGGCAUUAAUUUUAAGAAAUGUUGCUGGCUAAAUGGGCACAGCUUCCAAAGGCCACAAAAGAAGAAGAAAAAAUAAACAAACAAAAA
This is a long non-coding RNA of Diabrotica virgifera virgifera (western corn rootworm), 1323 nucleotides long. RefSeq lists it as uncharacterized. The transcript has 2 exons. The record is from RefSeq and is a predicted model, not a curated record. NCBI's taxonomy places the organism in Eukaryota, Metazoa, Arthropoda, Insecta, Coleoptera, Chrysomelidae.